AUGAGUAUGCCCACUCAGCACUAAGGUUGUUGAUGCUGUGGCUUACAGAUGCCAGAUGUGACAUCCAGUUGACUCACUCUCCAGCCUCCCUGUCUUUGUCUGUGAGAGAAAGCAUCAUAGUCAGAUGUCUAAAAAGUGAGAAAAUUUAUAGUGAAUUACAUUGGUAUCAGCAGAAACAGGGAAAAUCUUCUCAGCUCCUGAUCUACAGUACAACCAGCUUGGCAGAUGAUGUGCCAUCACGGUUCAGUGGCAGCGGAUCUGGUACACAAUAUUCUCUGAGUGAGGGCAAUCCUGCCAGUUUCUAGGAGAGUAAGAAAACUGCAAAAAUGUGAGAAGAAAACU
Molecule: non-coding RNA, 342 nt
Organism: Mus musculus (house mouse)
Lineage: Eukaryota; Metazoa; Chordata; Mammalia; Rodentia; Muridae
Source: the annotation of a RefSeq genome assembly